AAGCACUCUGUGUGGGGAACAUGAGAGCCAGACCAAAGCUCAGAGGAACCCACCUGGACCUCCACCCAGCUCUGUGUCCUUAAAGAGUGACGGGUCUAAAGAUAUGCCUGUUGGUUUUAAAUCCGAGCCUCUGUCUGCUGCAGAGAGAGUGGACCAGCAGAGCUCAGAGGUUCCCAGUGGUCAGUCUGCU
Long non-coding RNA from Oreochromis niloticus (Nile tilapia), 190 nucleotides. RefSeq lists it as uncharacterized. NCBI's taxonomy places the organism in Eukaryota, Metazoa, Chordata, Actinopteri, Cichliformes, Cichlidae. The transcript has 3 exons. The record is from RefSeq and is a predicted model, not a curated record.